UUUAUUUUUAAUCUAUUACAAGUCUGUGAAUGAAUCUUCUAUUAUUUAUGGGGGAGGAUAAAGGGAGCCGUCCCUGUGGCUGCAGGCAGACUCCGCUUUCAGUUCAACUCUUCUUUCCAGACAGGGAAAGUGGACACCUGCUGUUAUCCAGGACAGAGAUAAGUGAAGGGAGCUGUGUGAAAAGGGAGAAAUCCACAUGUUCUGUGGGAGAACGGGGCCUGGGGAUGAUGGAUCUCCAUGGGUGCUGGGUUUGUGUCUAUGCUCUGCGGGUUCCCAGAUCUCCAUGGGUGCUGGGUUUGUGUCUGUGCUCUGCGAGUUCCCAGAUCUCCAUGGGUGCUGGGUUUGUGUCUGUGCUCUGUGGGUUCCCAGCUCACCACAGGGUGAAUUUCUCCACUGGAUAAAAACCUUCCCCUCUCCCAAGGGGAUCAGAGCCUUUCAGCCAUGAGUUGUGUCACCCCAGGGUCUCCAUUCUGUGCUGGACCAGCUGCAGGAGCUGCUGCAGCCCCGAGGCUUUGCUGCUUGAGCCCGGCCUGGCCCUGUCAGCUCGGGCCCUCCGCUCCUGCUCAGCACCACGGACCCACUGCAGCCAAGGCCCAUCCUCUUCCCUGCUGCUCACCCUUCUGGGGCCGAGCUGGGAAUGCUGACACAUGUGGGAAUCCUCGUGGGAUAUUCCCGGUGAGGUAAUGGAGAUUCCUGUUGAUAAAGGGCUUGAUGGCGCUCAUGUGUUGAACAUUGUGUGCUGAUAACUGAGACUCCUCCACAGCUCAGAGGCCACUUUGCUGAGGAGGGGCUGGCCCUGACCCCUGGGAGAAGGGGAAUGUGGAGAGAGGGGUUUCCCCUGCUGCCACCACAGGAUUUGGGUUUAUCCUCUCUGACUGCACAUCCCACUAUUAAUGAGCAUCCAGAGUACCAUUUGAAUUUUAAUGACAUCACAGAUGCAGCGCUGCUAAUUGCUCAUUUGCUUAUCUGGAAUGAGUUUUAAAUCUGUGAAAGAAACCUGAAUCACAGGAAACCUCUUGUGCAGCUGAUCAGGGCAGGGUUAGAAAAGCAGCUGUCUGUGGUUUAACCCCCUCAGUGGCAGUUCCUCUCCUCUCCAUCCCAUUGCCCACCUUGAAGCACUCAUCAGCUGGGAUUCAUGGCUGGGAUAAAAACAAAGGAUUUAAAAGGGAAAAUCUCCACAGCCUUGGUACUCACAGAGAUGCUCUGAGAGCCUGGCUGGGUUUGGAUGUCCCUGGCUGGGCCGAGGGACAGAGGAGUGGUUUCAGUCCUCAAUUAUCUCUCCCAGGUCUCUUCCUGCAGAAGGGAGAAGCCCAAAUCUUUGUUUCCUGAUGCUCACAGCAGAGGCCAGGCUGAUACCUGAAUUUGGAAAGUAGGGCAGCGAGAAACCCCGGGCAGAGCACAGCAACAGCUUCCUGCUGAAAGGGGAGAGCCAGGCAUUCGAUUACUCCUGCUGUGUGUGGUCCUGGGAGGCAACUUUCCUUUUCCCCCUCCUCGGAUAUCACCUCCAAAGGCAGGGAGGUGACAAGCAGCACUUCAACUUCCCCCGUGUUCCAAAGGAAGUGAGGUGAAAACUCUGCCUGUGUCAGCAUUCCCAAAAAGCUGCCACCGGUGCCUCCGUGGAGGGGACCCACUGCAGAGGGAAACCUGCAGACAAUGCCUGCUUUGUCCCCUCCCUGCUUCUCGGGAGCCCUGAGAUGCUGAGUCCAAACAUUUAACCACAAAAUGCAUUAAUUACCAUCCAGCUCCCCGGGGAAAGGACCAUAUGCCAGUAACCAGGGGAAACAAAAAAGGAAGAAGCACGCAAAGGCCACUGAUUGUUAAAUGACUCCAAGUGCAAUUACUGCCACUGAAAGUUCUUGAUGAGCAUUUCCUAGAAACAUUGAGUUCUCCAGCCUCUGUGCUCCGAGCGGUGCUAACUUGGACCGUGGAGCAGAGGAGUGACCCAGAUACUGUGGGAUGAAGUCACCUUCCCACAUAAUGCCACGGGACGUGUCCUGUGCUGCUCUAACUCUGCCUCAGCCCGCAGCACAGAGCUGUUCUCUGUGGGUUUCUCCCCAGUGGCAGCUGUGAGCUCUGGGGCCGGCUCCACUCAUGUCCUCAGCUGCUCACUGCGGCUAAUCCUAAAGCCUGGCAGCCACCCCGGAGGAAAAUGAGCCAUCCAGGGACAGCUGGUUGGGAAUCACAGCAAACUGCAAACAGUCUGACACCGGCAGAAGUUGGAUUUCCCCCACAGUCCUUGGAAAUCUGGUGGGUUCCCACCCUUCCAGCAGCUCCAAACCAAACUCUGCUCGGCACAGAGGCAAUAAAAGAGGAAUGAGCCAUAACAAAUUCAUCCCUCCCAGGAGGCAGGUAAUGGAUGGAGCCCAAAAUCCCUCUCGGUGCCUGGAUGGGAGGGAGGAAUGUGGAGCUCCUGGGGUUACUCUGCUGAGGGGGCAGCAGCUCAGCAGAGCAUCUGUGACACGAGGGCUGGGCCCGCCGUGGCUGUGCUUCCGCUGCUGCAUCCCAGGAUCCCGAAUUAGCUGUGGAAUGGGAGUGCUGGUAUUUAUAACCAGGGUGUGCCAGUCCUGCCUUUCCUUUAAUAGGUGUCCCUGGGCAGGUUCCUCUCCCAGCUGCGUCCAGCACGGCUUUCAGGAGCUCUGAUGAACCCGACAGUCAGGACAGGCUCCUGCUUCCAGCCACAGCCAGCACUGGAUGCUCUCCUUCCCAAACCACCUCAGCAUCUUCCUUCUCACAGCAGUUUCAUUAUGAUUAAAAAAUUGGGAUGCUCAUACAUGUGUCCCACUGAGUGACAACAUGACCUGUGUGCUGAGCUCCUCCCAUGCCUGGAAAACUCCCCGUGGAAAUAAAAACUCAUUUUUGAGCCCCAGGGUCAGCGUGGCAGCGAAUUCCACCAGAGGAACACGCACAGCCAGGGCAGGAGAGGGCCUGCUUUGAUAUCUUUAACAUCUGAUGCCUCCAGUUUCAAAAGCACUUUGAAAGUUUGAGAUGGAAAAACUGCUGCAGAAAGGCCAAAAAUGCUGGAGAAGGGAAACAAUCCACAUUGUUUUGCUGCUCUGCCAAAUGGGAAUGAAGCUCCUGAAUGCAGCAUAAAAUAAUAUUGAGGGAGUGACCCACUGAGCACAUGUGGGGGACCAGAGUUGCUUUGUUCCCACUCUGUGGCUCGGUGCAAAUUUAGCUUUCAGUAAGCCACUGAACUUUCCUGACUCAUUCCUCACUGCUGUUAAAGGUGGGUGAUGCUCAUUUCCCUAUGGAUUGUUAGGAGCACUGGUGAUUUAUUAUGUAAAGCGUGGACAAAUUAAUUCUAAGUGUUAUAAAAAAGAAAUAAAUAAAUCCAGUAUAAUACAAGCAACAAUCACUGAAGGAGGAAAGAAUCGAGAGCUUUCAGACUGAGCAUUGUUAGAGGUUUCAUUUGAAUGGGGAGCAUGAGGGGUUUGGUAAGUGGCAGCUGGAAACAAGCAAAAUGUCAUCUGAAAGUGAAAUAAUUGAAAAGAUAUUAAAGCAGAGCCAGGGCUGGUGCAGCUGGGUAUAAAUGAAAUAAGCUAUUAGCUGCUCUGUGAGAUACCAGCAGGGGAGAGUUUUUGUUAGAGCAGAAAUGCAGCAGUGGUGAGGGGAAAACAGCCCUGGCAGCUCCUUUGUGGGGCUGGGAAACAUAAAAAGGCCCCCAGUGCUUCGCAGACCUCAAAUUUGUUGCUCUACACCCACCUUUGUGGGUGCUGUGGGAGAGCUGAUCUUUGUGCUAAACCACUGCCUGUUCUCGAGCAGGUGGGUCUGGGCUGUGGGGAGCCCUGGAAAGUACUGCAAGUUUGACAAAACCCUGGAUUUUAAACUUUUUGGUGAAGCAGAGAGGGAGGCUUUUGGUCCUUGGCUGAGGAGGAGUACCUGGCUCAGCGUUCCUUGUCCUGAUCCAACUUUGCUUUGCCCCUCAUUAAACCAGUCCCUGAAUCCACAUUUGGCCCCAACUGGUGCAAAUUUCUUACUCUGCCAUGCAAAAAAGUGAACGCAAAGCCUAAGACAGAUGCUUGUGAAGUCUCUGGGACAGCCCUAUUUAACCUUCCCUUCUGUUGGAACCCACGUUCCAACAAUAAUUGUGGGAUGGUGUCCUUCACGCUGCAGGCUGCAAUUAAUUAAUGGGUAAUUAUCAAGGGAGGUUCCUGGCCAGGGCUGGACUGCACAGCCCCACAUCGGUUUGGUUCCAGUGACACAUCGAUUUCCAGCCCAGACUGUCCCACCCCAUGAAUCAGUGAGAUUCCCUGGACUCUAAACCGAACAGAGAUGGAUAUUCCACUGGCUCUCGGGGAGUUGGGACUGUCCAGAGGCUGCAGGAAUGGAAAGGACUUUGUCACAUCGGUGACCCAGCCCUAUCAGCUCCGGAGAGGAGCUUGCAGCAGUUUUUCCUGCUCGAGAUGAAUUCAAGGGCAUUCAAAGCUGAUAUUUG
This is a non-coding RNA of Cyanistes caeruleus (blue tit), 4435 nucleotides long. NCBI's taxonomy places the organism in Eukaryota, Metazoa, Chordata, Aves, Passeriformes, Paridae. The record is from RefSeq and is a predicted model, not a curated record.